CAGCAUGACUGUAGCAAUACAGUUGAUGGCGACCGGCAAACGGGUGCGGAACACGUACACAACCUUCCUUUAAGUGGGGAAUAGCCCGGGGAAACCCGGAUUAAUACCCCGUAACAUAUUGACUCGGCAUCGGGUUAAUAUUAUAGCUCCGGCGCUUAAUGAUGGGUGUGCGCCUGAUUAGGUAGUUGGCGGGGUAACGGCCCACCAAGCCUUCGAUCAGUAACUGGUGUGAGAGCACGACCAGUCACACGGGCACUGAGACACGGGCCCGACUCCUACGGGAGGCAGCAGUAAGGAAUAUUGGUCAAUGGACGCAAGUCUGAACCAGCCAUGCCGCGUGGAGGAUGAAGGUCCUCUGGAUUGUAAACUUCUUUUAUCUGGGACGAAAAAGGGUCUUUCUAGACCACCUGACGGUACCAGAUGAAUAAGCACCGGCUAACUCCGUGCCAGCAGCCGCGGUAAUACGGAGGGUGCAAGCGUUAUCCGGAUUCACUGGGUUUAAAGGGUGCGUAGGUGGGUCUGUAAGUCAGUGGUGAAAUCCCCGAGCUUAACUUGGGAACUGCCAUUGAUACUAUAGAUCUUGAAUACUGUGGAGGUCAGCGGAAUAUGUCAUGUAGCGGUGAAAUGCUUAGAUAUGACAUAGAACACCAAUUGCGAAGGCAGCUGGCUACACAAAUAUUGACACUGAGGCACGAAAGCGUGGGGAUCAAACAGGAUUAGAUACCCUGGUAGUCCACGCCCUAAACUAUGGAUACUCGACAUUUGCGAUACACUGCAAGUGUCUGAGCGAAAGCAUUAAGUAU
This 803-nucleotide ribosomal RNA is filed under the name uncultured Flavobacteriales bacterium. RNAcentral describes it as "bacterial SSU rRNA". It matches the Rfam family "Bacterial small subunit ribosomal RNA", at positions 70 to 867 of the family's 1533-position model. Lineage: Bacteria; Pseudomonadati; Bacteroidota; Flavobacteriia; Flavobacteriales. The record is from RNAcentral.